This is a long non-coding RNA of Musa acuminata AAA Group (dessert banana), 2983 nucleotides long. RefSeq lists it as uncharacterized. The transcript has 7 exons. The record is from RefSeq and is a predicted model, not a curated record. NCBI's taxonomy places the organism in Eukaryota, Viridiplantae, Streptophyta, Magnoliopsida, Zingiberales, Musaceae.
AUUGAUGUGCUCACUUGGAGAUUACAGAAAAUAAUAUACGAUUUGGAGAGAGAGAGAGAGAGAAAGGAAUGGGACCUACCACUCUCAUCAACCGGACUUAACAUGUGGAUGAAGCCUGAGUCACUGUGGCCUGAUGUACACAUGGAGUGCUCGAAGGUUAUUUCUCCUUGUUCUUUUCGGUGCAGAAACUUGAAGACAAAGGGAGACAGGUUAUGACAAAAGCAUUGACAAGAUCUACCAACACAAGUUUCACCAUCUGAUGCAGUGAGUUACUGUUAAUAUUCUUCAUGCAUGGAAGGAACCACAGGUAAGUCUUCCCUCAAAAGGAUCAACAUCUUGCUACUACAUGCCACAGACUAGGGGUCUUUCUUGGAAUCAGAUGCUGCACUGCUCAUUGGUCUUUGCAAAAAGCUAUCUACGCAGUACAGCUCCUAAUUACAUGACCAGCUUCACAAGUCCCAGUUGUGUGUGGUCCUUGGGCAAGGAACAGAGGACAACCUGAGCAGAUUUAUCCGAGACUUCAACACUAAGCAAUUCACCCACACCCACUUCUUCUUCUUCUUCUUCUUCUUCUUCUUGGUUACCAUACAAUGAGAUCCAAGGGAUGACAGAGGUGUCCGUCCCCAUAUCACCACCCCUCGCUGCCCUCAUGAUUCAAAGCAAUUAAAGGCAUUAAGCAUUUCGAGCCUGGCCGUACCAUCACGCGAGCCAUCGCCACUGUGGUGCAACAGUGCCCCCCACUUUAUCCUAGAAUCGCUUUGCAUUCUUCCAAGCCACCACAUGGAAAAGGGUAGGGGGAGGGAGGUGGAGCAGAUAAAAGUGCAGAGAGAUAGAUAGGUUGAUAGAUAUGCAUUGCAUGGUUGUGAUUCCAUGGCUGCAUUAUUGCGUCCAUCAACCCAAUUAAGAUGAGAUUUCACGUCGCCCUUUGGAUGACACUGUGACCACCUAGAGAACCUUGAGAAAAGGAGGAGGAGGAGGAGAAGAAGAGGACAUGUGUGCUUGUGCUCCUCCUCCUCCUCCUUACAGGAGUAAUUUGAAGCACCUUGACUUGUGGGCACACCCUUCUUCUUCUUCUUCUUCUCCUUUUUUCCCUUUCCCUAUCCAUCUAACCCAAAGCUGAGUCUGCCCUAAACAUACGUGCCCCUCUGCCCUACCACCAUCCCCCGAAGCCUUUUCUGGUCUCCUUUGUUCUGCUCCACAGUUGGUAUGAUAUGGCCAAAGCAAAAGGUGGGGGUGUUGGGAGGGGGGCACCAUGUUCUGACCAAAGGCGCAGGAAAAGAUGGAGUCAGGUUCCCAACAUGCACAAACCCAAAGCAAGCUUCAUCUUCCGUGCAUGCCACCACCUGCACCAUGCUGCCGGGCGAGCUUGUUUGUAUGAACCUGAUUGAGGUGACAACUUGUUCUUCACCACAAGGUCAGUGAACAAUCAACUGCAAUCAAACAAAUGAGCCACCAAGUGCAUUUUUCAGGUGGCUACUGCAAAAUCCAAAGAGGCAACUUGAUUUCAACAGAGCACUUUGUUGUGAAUUAUGCCAGAGAAAUGAGAAAACAGAUACAUAGAGGCUUCAAUCACUGAACAGUUAUGAUGAUGACCUUUCAUUUCUGUGGUGGAAGGGACUGUCAAGCAGUGAUCUUUGGCAGUGUUGACACAUCGAUGCAAGGAAUGCUUCUCAUACUUGAAGCUUCAGAAAGGACAACUGGUAUUUUCUUUCUUCAGGAUGCAGAUUUGUCCCUUGAGCCCAUAAACACCAUGAAUUGAAGGGCAGAUACCUCUUGUCUGGGCUGGAGGUGGAUCUAUCCAUCCAUUUGGGUUGAGCUUUGGGCCUACUACUCCAUGGGAAGAUUGUGGCUCCACCCCAAGAUUCACUUGGUGCUUGGAUCAACCUCAGAUGCUGUGAUGAGAAGAUUUGUGAGCUUGAGAUGGCUUCUUCCAAAGAAAAUAGCUACAGUACUUGGAACAAGUCAUUCUAUCAUCACUGUAUUUCUAGAUUAUUAACACAAAAUCAUCUUUCUUGCAUUUCCUCACAUUUAUUGUCUGCAUCACAUUUUAGGAAUAAGAUUGUGGGUGUUCAGUGAACAUGGAAGCUGAGCCUCAGCCCUUGUCAGCUAGCAAUGAUCAAUCCUGUUGUUAUCAGCCUCAACUGAAACCUCAAGUUAGCAAUGUAAUCUUUGUCAAAGCAUACAUCAUAUGUUCUUCAUGCAAGUUUGUGUUAUAUUCCUUUGAUGAUAUAACAACACAUUGCUGCAAGCUUGCACAGCAACAAAAACAGAAAAAGACAUCUCUGAUGGUAAUUAUGGUCACUUCAAUGUCUGGUGGAAGGCCUGAAUCAGGUGCAGAAGAAUCAUUAUCUCUGGUCAGCAGACAAGGAUAGCUAAUUUGUCUUGGUUUUCCUCGAGCAGAAAUAAAAGCAAAUCUUGUUAGCCAAUAACAUUCGUCCACCAUCCUUUUGUUCAUCUCUGGAUUGUGGCCCUGCAGUUUAUAUUCCUUUUUCUUUUUCUGUUCUGUUUCUUCCAUCUUUUCUUUGGAUUAUUUUGCUGUCAUAUUUAUCUGAUUCCUUUCUUUCUGGGGUGCUCAGCUACAGGAAUUGAGCACCCAUCACAUUGCUCAGACAGAGUGUGCCAUAUCAUGUCCUGUUUUUGUGGAUGAACAAUGGGCAUCAGACAGCUCUGCUGCUGUGUUUGGGGAGAAAUCAUGGAUGACAGAGAGGGAGACAUUGCAAGGGCAGACAGGUGCAUGGAUAAUUAUUCCAAAGACACAACAUGCUAUGUGAAAGAAACCUGAAGAUGGCACACAAAGUGCAUGGUAUGGUGGAUGAUGCAAUCAAAGGUAGGAUAAGUUCCAGGCCCUGCUUUUUGAUGUAGAGAAGCUUCAAAGAAACUUCCUCCAGUACACAAUUAUGCUUGAUUGGCAAGGGAUAUGUGAUUGCCAUCUCCUUUUUCUCAUCCAACAUAUGCAAAUCAUUCUCAUGUGAUGUUCACAAAA